Neogobius melanostomus (round goby) is the source of this 3530-nucleotide long non-coding RNA. Lineage: Eukaryota; Metazoa; Chordata; Actinopteri; Gobiiformes; Gobiidae. The record is from Ensembl.
AUGGGAACGUCACAAAAAUCCUCUUUGUUAAAUGUACAUGUAACUUGGAGACUGUAUUUUGCAGAUCCUGGGAUGGAGGACAUGCUGCUCGCUGAGGGGCAGGCAGAUGACAUCGGUGCUCACAAAGCAGACCUGGAGGAAGAGUAUGACACUGAAGACCAGGAAGUGGACACGGAGAAACAGCAGCCCAGCAAGAAAGGAAACUUAGAUCAAGAGGAAGAGGACCUGGCAGACUAUAACGGGGACGAUGAAAAUGAAGGGGAGUUUGAAGCCGACAAACAAGCUGCACUCGCUCAAAUAUAAAGUGUUGGCUGAUCUGAGUUGCAUAUUUGAUUGACCUGAAUGUUGAACCAAACUGGACACCUGUGAUGUGAGGCUGGGAUCUCUUUGACUGAUCCAACAUGUAGCUAAAUUCAUUGAACCAUACAACUACCGUAAUUUCCGGACUAUAAGCUUCUACUUUUUUCCCACCCUUUGAACUUUGCAGCUUAUAUAACGGUGCACCUAAUUUAUACAUUCUUAUGGUUAUACUGAAUAUUGUGUCAUGUGUCGCCCUAUCACUGUCUUCCUCCACCUCUAUCUGCGGUGUUUACUGUUUACCGGAGCGGAGGCAGCAGGAUGCCCUACCGCGCUGUAGCUAACGUGGCUUCGAGUUUAAUUCUCGCACCGCUGAAAUAUUAUGGAGGGUCCAGCGAUGCGCGGAUAUCAAAAGCCAGCUGUGAACGGUCACCGCGCACCCAGCUCAGAGCAGCUUCGAAAACCAGGAACUCCCGAGGCUGUGUGCGCAGACCGAGGAGGGCGGCUCUGAACACGGCCACACUCCUGAGUCGCUGUGCGGGCAGCGCUUUGGCUUCACUGAACACACGCGUGUUUAACCUCUUAACCCCCACCUGAACCGAGCACACUUUCCCCAGUUUGGCUUUGCCCAAAAAGCUUCUUGAAAAAAGCUACAAAAAACGUUUCAGAAAAGCACAACAAAAAAGUGACAGAAGAGUGACUCGAGGCGUUUUCACACAGGCUCUAGUUAGGUCGACUUAAAGGGACUUUCGGCCCGAGAGCGGCACUUUAGGGUCAGUGUGAAUCUUUACGCGGGUCUAAACAGCCGCUCCGACUGCGGCUGAAACAGGUGGUCUCGGAGCGGCGCAUCUCGCUCUCUGCGUCGGAGCGGUUGUGGUGUGAAUAUGACCGACCUCUGGUGAACUAUUCUCGCUUUGACGCCUCUUUUUUGCACGAAGAAAGAAUGACUACGCGCUACAUGAGGACGUUUGGAUUACUCUGACAAGGCAAAAUGGAUUAACUUUAAAUCAUCAAGGUACGCCUCUCUUUCCCGUCUUCCCCUUCCUGCUGCAUUGAAACUUUCCUCUCCAUGUGCUGAUUAAAUACAUUUCUCCGCGCUGCGCGUCUAUAAGCCUCAGUGUAUUUAACCAUGAGGGAGAGGAGUGACCACCGCGUAACAUCGGGGAAGUGUGCCUGUACGUGCACGCGUGUCGGUGUCGCCACAUUGACAGGUCGAUGCCCGUUGUCAUGGGAAUAAGUUCGUUGAACAGCUGAUCGUUGUUACGUGGCUGAUGUUGCGAUGUUUUGUGCGAGCGCGUGUGAACACGAGCUUAACUAACUUUGGAGUAAAUACAGUUGGAGCUAAGGCGGUCUCGAGGCGACCUACAAAGCUCCAACAUGUGUGAAAACGGCCUAAAACAUGCCAGAAAAGCAACAAUAACAUAUUAAAAAAGUGAUGAAAACAUGACAUCAUUUUCUCGUAGGAGAGGUGUGGUUUACGAUUGUCCAUAGCCGCUUAUUGGGCUCCACAAAUGUCUCAUACGUCUGCACGUAGCCAUAGCCCAUCGUAUCAGAUGACGUACCUGCUGUAAACUUUCGAGCUGCUGUCAUGUUGGCUCUUUAAAUAAACAUUUUUUUAUAUUUAUCCGUAAACAAACUACAAGCUUCCGUAUGUUGAAUAGCGCGUCAUCGUCUUGCCGUCCCUCCUCGUUCUGUGAUUGGUCCCCAAAUCCAUGCAAAGAUUUCGGCCAUGGUCCCAGAAUGCUGUGCAGUUUGAAAUGAUUCGAGCGCACACAGCAGCAUGGGGAUUUCCAGGCUAGCGGCUUAUAGACCAGUGCGGCCAAAAAAUAAACAGAAUUCUAUACAUUUUGUUGGUGCGGCUUAUAUUGCGCUCAACAGUCUGGAAUUUACGGUAGUUAUUCCGAACAAUCCAAAUUAGUUUGAUAAUCCAUGAGAUGCAUUUCGUUAACUCUAGCAUAUUCACUCCUUUUAAUGUUUACAUGGCUGUGGCCCAGUGCGUAUGUCCGAGAUCCGCUCUUCUUUACAUCUGCCAUAAGUUAAACGGUAUUUUAUAUUUUAUUUCAAUCAUUUGACAAGCAGGUUUUUUUUUUUAAUGAGUGUGCGUUACAUUGUUUUUAUUUUGGUUUAUGUAAAUGUGUACAUUUCUUUGGCAGACACUGUUCUUCAAGUUAUUUUUAUGAAUUAGUUUUAACAGAUGCCUUAUGGGGUAAAUAUUUGAGAUAAAUAAAAAAGGUUUUCAGAAAGUAGUCUGAAUUGAAGAUGUUUCGACUUUCACCUGGGAGGGUUCUUCAGCUCUGGGGUUCUUCAGAGGGAGGAGUGAGGUCUACCAUUGCCCUGCCCGGUUUAUCUCAACCAGUUUCAACUGUUGUGCUGAACUGGGGGUUAAACUCAGGGCCUCCUUCACACCUCUCCCUCGUAAACCACCGAUGGUCUUCAAAUCUGAAUAACCCAAUCCCCACAAACUACUUUCUGAGAAGUUUCGCUUUCAUGGACAACUGCUGGAUGAUUGAGAAGUUUCACAAAUAUAUCAGAAUCAUUUUCUAUGAUUAAUGUAAUGGUAAUAAAGUAGGAAAGUCUGUCCUGCUGAUUGUAAGUCAUUUGCUGUAUAAAAUGAAGGACCUUUCUGACAUGUGCAAUGCCAUUUUGUGGACGUCAAGUGUUUAGCUGCUGUGCUUGUGAUAUAUUUAAACUCGACUGAGGAGGUUUUGCUGGUAGCAUAUGUGCAACAAUAAGCGUGAGGUAUCAGGGACGUCCUUAGGGAUGGUGCAUUUACCUUGUGUAAAAACGUGUCCUGCUGGUACUGUUGACUCGAGACAAUUGUGAAGCUCGUACCACGUGGGGAAAAGCACCUUUGCACAAAACAACUUGUGCUGCCCUUGUGUGUUUCAAACGUAAAUGUAAUUUAGCAAGGGACAUGUUUCUGUACAUUUGAUUAUUUUUAGACUUGAUUUUAAAUUGUGUUUUUAUUGUGCAUCUAUAAUUUUAGACUAAAGCUUUGUCUAAAAUAUCUUGUCUUGCUCUGUGUAAACUUUGGGAAAAUUCUCAUUUUUAAUGAAAAAUAAACUUUUACUAUUAAGACGGUAAAUGUUUGUCUUUAUUACUCAAUGAAUAAAAGUAUAAGAAUAUGAUUAGGCGUCUUGUCGUGUGAUUGGAUUUGAAAUUAUGGCCAAUGGUUAUUUCAUUUCAGAUAUUGUUACACUGCAAUAAUAAACCGUCAACCUAUUUAAUAUACA